AAUCAACGCUGGCGGCGUGCCUCAGACAUGCAAGUCGUACGAUUAAAGCUCUCUUCGGAGAGUGUAUAGAGUGGCGCACGGGUGAGUAACACGUAAGUAAUCUACCUUCGAGUGGGGAAUAACAGUCGGAACGACUGCUAAUACCGCAUAAUGCAGCGGCACCUAAUGGUGACAGUUGUUAAAGCAUUUAUGUGCUUGAAGAGGAGCUUGCGGCAGAUUAGCUAGUUGGUAAGGUAAUGGCUUACCAAGGCGACGAUCUGUAGCCGACCUGAGAGGGUGGUCGGUCACACUGACACUGAAUAACGGGUCAGACUCCUACGGGAGGCAGCAGUCGGGAAUUUUGGGCAAUGGGCGAAAGCCUGACCCAGCAACGCCGCGUGAAGGAUGAAGUAUUUCGGUAUGUAAACUUCGU
This 412-nucleotide ribosomal RNA is filed under the name uncultured bacterium. RNAcentral's name for it is "bacterial SSU rRNA". It matches the Rfam family "Bacterial small subunit ribosomal RNA", at positions 32 to 435 of the family's 1533-position model. The record is from RNAcentral.